Non-coding RNA from Rattus norvegicus (Norway rat), 6801 nucleotides. The record is from RefSeq and is a predicted model, not a curated record. NCBI's taxonomy places the organism in Eukaryota, Metazoa, Chordata, Mammalia, Rodentia, Muridae.
GAUUUCUUCCUCACCAUGCAGGGAUGGGCAGCCUUGGACUGAGAGGCUGAGGGGUGUGGCUGGGGUUGUGUGUGAGUGUGUCUGAGCCUUACCCAAGAGGGUCUUCUAUUCCCUCCCAGAACAGUGUGAGGGAGCUCAACCUGGUGUGCCUUGCUCCUCCCCAUAGCUCUGUCCCUGGGGACAUUUGGAGGAGCAUGGGGCAGCACCGCAGCAAUCCUCACAGACCGCGCCUGUGGGAGCGUUGAGCUGUCAGGUGUAGACAAGCGGGAAAUGAUGUCUUUGAUUGAGGGUUAUAAGGCCUAAGAACUGGAGGGCUGGAGAGACAGCUCAAUGUGUAAGAGCACUGGCUACUCUUUGAAAGGACCCAGGUUCAAAUCCCAGCAUUUACAUGGCAACUCCAGUUCCAGGAAGUUCAACACCCUCACGUGUACAUACAUGCUGGCAAGCCACCAAUGCACAUAAAAUAAAAACAAGUAAGUCAUUUAAAACAAGGGCUAAGAACUUCUGAGCAUAAGGACCUCGGCCUUAGAGAGUUAGGAUUUAUGGGAGAUGGAGUUUGACCUGAGAGGAAAUGAUUAUCCAGAGACUGACAGGGUAUUGUGUGCCUCUGACACUGUGACCCUGAGGAGGGUAGUGAGCAGGGGGUCUUGUGUCCUCCCUGAGUCAGUUUCUUUUCCACAGUGUUAAAGUGCCAGCAGGCCUUCAGCGCUCCCUGGAGUCCUCCCCUACAGGGGUAGCUGUUGAAGUCUUUGUGGUCCUGCCCUUCCUGACCUUAGUCUUCACCAUGGAGAAAAUGGUUGUUGCUGCUCAAGCAAGUGGGACCUGGUGGCUCUGAGCUUAAGGCUGUGAAAACAGUGUUUCGUCAUGAAGUAAAUGUUCUGUUGUCCCAGGAACACUUCCCACCCCUUCCCCUGUGGGUGGGGUCAGCAGUGUCUCCUGCCUGCUCUGGAGCCACCUUGGUUCUCUGGACUCUUCUUUCUGGGCCUUCUCUGAAGACUACUGACCUGACUAGACAUCUCUUGUCUCUCCUACCCACAAGCCUCCUCAAGUUGGCCCAGCAGCCCUGCCUCUGCCUCCCUACAUGCUGAGGUGUCUGCAAUCACCUAUCCUUUCCUGGCUCUUGGGUCUGUGCCCACCCCACCCCACCCUCAGCUCCGAUAACAGUGCGCACUCGGGCCACCUGCCUCCCCCAGGCUUAACCAGUCCCCAGCCUCUGCACCUUGGUGGAUUCUUUUCAGGGAGGGUCAUGGAGGGCUGAAGUUGCACCAUGGUGGGUUUCCCCACUCAAGUGUCUUCAAUACUAGACCCUGGGAAUACCUGUUCUUCAAAAAAUGGCAGAACUGUAGAACUGUGGCCUAGAUCAGGGUGGAUGGGACAGGACACUGUCUGAGGUGCAUGUCUCUCUCUCUCUCUCUCUCUCUCUCUCUCUCUCUCUCUCUCUCUCUCUCUGUGUGUGUGUGUGUGUGUGUGUGUGUGUAUAGUGGAGAGUUCACAGACUUUAGCAUUUUGAACUGAGUUCAUAGACACUUUGUUUUCUCAUAAUUAUAAAUCCUACGUUUAUCUGUGAGGCUUCCAGAACAUGACAUUAAAUGUUGGGGUUUUCUCCUAAUAAAAGCCCCACUGGCAGUGAUGGGUAGUGCCCAAUGUCCAUCUCUGGUGUAGAGAACAUGCCUUGGGCUGUUGCUGGUAGCCUGAGAAUGCCAGUUUUGUAAGCGGAACUUCCUGUGGGCAGUGCCCAUUGCCUUCUAGAAGGUGCUUUGUGCUUUGUACACAGGCUGCAGCAGGCAUCUGUGCACACGGCCCUCUGUGUGGUCUCAACCAGAUGGUGCCUCCCGAGACGCUGAGGCCCCGGCCCCUCUGACCUGACCCCACAUUCCUUCGCACUGAGCCAGUUGUGGCUGCCAUGAUGGCACACGAGCGCCGGUUGGCGCGAACCCUCAUGAGCAUCCUGGUCCGCGCUGGACCCUCAGCACUGUCUAAAGUUGGGGUGCUCUUCCUGGGGCAUUCCACCUUGGACUCGGGGAACUCAGUGCUUGCCCUCAGUUCCAUGCCUAAGCACACAGACAGCUGAAGCCUAGAACUUACCAUGCGAUCGAUCACCCUAAAUCUCUCUCCAUACUCCUGCCUGGGCUAGGAAAGGUGAUCUGAUCAGAACACAGAGGGAGGAUAAAACAAAAGCCCUCAUCUUGACUCUCUUGUGUUUUCUGUAGUCAGCAACGCCCUGUUGUUGCUUUGAAGAGACUCUCCCUGUCAGCCUCUGAAAGCUGCAUCUUGUUCUUCAUCCAUGACUGACAGGGUGAUCGCCCAUAACUCCUUGCUGUAGAUUUCCUGGACUUUCUAAAUCCAAAGAUUAUUGGGGAGAUGGGUCCCUAAAACAGCAGCUGACUUAGGCUCUCUGAUUCUCAAGAGCCUGAUGACUUUUAUAGUCAGGAGGACUCUGGGAGGAGGUGAGGGAGGGAGGGAGUGUGUCCCUGGAUCAAGAAAGGGGUAUCAAAGCAGAGCCCUCUGCUCUAGGUAGUGGCCAUGUGCAGUGAGGGGAAUGGUCCUCUGAGUCCUUCAGAAGGUCGCACUGUGAGAGCUGAGUAAAAACACCCCUUGCAUGCAGGGACUGCCAAGCCUGGUCCUUGUGUGUGAGACCCUCUCUCUCCUCACCUACUUAGCCCAGAGCCUUUGGUGACAUGCUCCUCAGCCAGUGCCCCACUAGCUGCCUCCCUGUCCCCAGCUUCCUGAGUCUUGGAGCUUGGGCAGGCAGUGCGGCUCUGUACAAGCUGCACCAGCCCCUUCCUGCCUGUGGACAGGGCUCCCUCUAAAGUCAUUCACAGGCCAGUCAGGACACGGCUGCUCACAGGUGAGGAACCUUCAAACCAAAAGGCAGAUUGUUUGCGACCAGCCCGGCUUGCAGAGAGCCUAGCUUUACAGUGCCCCACCCCCAUGUUUAUGAGUGUUUUGCCUGCACAUGUGUCUGCACCAUGUGCAUGCCAGUACUGUGGAGGCCAGAGGAGGAUGUUGGAUCCCUGGAGCAGGAGUUACAGACAGUUGUAAGCCAACAUGUGGUUGCUAAAAUUCCAACCCAGGUCCUCUGGAAGAGCAGCCAAUGAGUGUUCGUAGCUGUUAAGCCGUCUCUUCAGCCCCAUUCAGUACCUUCUCCCUGGGCAUGAGGCCUGCUUACCCGCAUACCCUUUGAAGUGAUGCUUGGAGGUGUGGGGCACUCAGGGAGUACUGCACCCCAGCUUUUUUCCUGCUUUCUUGGCCUUUCUCCACUGGCACAGUCCUGAGUAACCUCUUGCCUGCUCAUUCUCUGGGAACCUCGUUCCCUCCCCUCCCAGGAACUCAGGUCUCCCUGUCACUGCCCCCAGGAAAACAAAUUAUGUGGUUUAUUACUACCUAGGCCUUGGUUUAAAGUCCUUUGUUGAGAUGCGAGUCAUGCAUAGUUCACCCUGUGAAUGUCCUGCCCAGUGGUUCUUGGUGUUUUCACAGACCUGUGAUCGCUGUAUACUAGUCCCUGCCAUCAGCUUUAGAGCUCUUAUCAUUCUAGAAACCAUACCUGCCAGUAGCCACUGCCAUUCCUGCCCCACAGUCUGUCACCCUGGGCCCCAGGCGCCAUUUAUCUAUGUGUCUGUAUAUUCCCUGUGUUUAAACUUAAAUACAGUAAAUACAGAAAAACAUCUGAUGACAUCCAGCAACCCUCAAUGACCAAUUCUGAGCAAAUUAGACAGAAAACAACACACCUCAACAUAAAGGGCAGAUAUGAAAACUCCAGGUAGCAUUGUCCUGAGUGAGCAGUUUUCCUUCACUGUCUAAACAAGGCAAGGAUAACCUUUUGUUGUUGUUGAUUAGCUGUCUGACAUGACCCUAGAAGAUUGGCUCGAGCAUCACACCUGGGAAGGGGGAUAAAAUUACCAUUUAGAAAUGACAUGAAAUUAUAUAGACACAAAUCCAAAACACUAUCAGAUUUAAACAAGGAAAAGUUGCAGGACACACAAACAGCAUCUCCAUAUUCUAACAGUGAGUUAUCUAGAAAAAUCAACAAUCGAUAGUGAGUUAUCUAGAAAAAUCAACAAUCAAUAGUGAGUUAUCUAGAACAAUCAACAAUCAAUAGUGAGUUAUCUAGAACAAUCAACAAUCAAUAGUGAGUUAUCUAGAACAAUCAACAAUCAAUAGUGAGUUAUCUAGAAAAAUCAAUCAAUAGUGAGUUAUCUAGAAAAAUCAACAAUAGUGAGUUAUCUAGAAAAAUCAACAAUCAAUAGUGAGUUAUCUAGAAAAAUCAACAAUCAAUAGUGAGUUAUCUAGAAAAAUCAACAAUCGAUAGUGAGUUAUCUAGAAAAAAUCAACAAUCGAUAGUGAGUUAUCUAGAAAAAUCAAUAAUCGAUAGUGAGUUAUCUAGAAAAAUCAACAAUCAAUAGUGAGUUAUCUAGAACAAUCAACAAUCAAUAGUGAGUUAUCUAGAACAAUCAACAAUCAAUAGUGAGUUAUCUAGAACAAUCAACAAUCAAUAGUGAGUUAUCUAGAAAAAUCAACAAUCAGUGAGUUAUCUAGAAAAAUCAACAAUAGUGAGUUAUCUAGAAAAAUCAACAAUCAAUUGUGAGUUAUCUAGAAAAAUCAAUAAUAGUGAGUCAUUUAGAAAAAGAAUCAGUAGUCAAUAGUGAGUUAUCUAGAAAAAUCAACAAUCCAAAUCCAUCAUCAUUUUAAAAAGUAUAAACUGGCAUAAGAGAGAUGGCUCAGCAGAUAGAGAGGCUUGCUGCCAAGCCUGAUGGCCGGAGUUCAAUCCCCAAGAAUGGAGGAAGGAAAGAACUGACCCUUGCAAGGAGUGCUUUCACUUGCCCAUAUAUUCCCACUCACUCAAUAAAGUAAACCGCUUAGGAGCAAACUUAAUGAGGGAGAAAAGGCUUUCUACAGCAGAAACCUUAAGACAUUGGUAAGAACUGAAAAGAGCAGGGCUGGAGAGAUUGCUCGACUCCUAAGAACGUUUGCUGCUCUUGCAGAGGACCUGGGCUAGGUUCCCAGCACCUGAGUGGCAGCUCACAAACAUAGGUAACUCCAGUUCCAGGGGAUCCAGUGCCCUCUUUUGGCCCUGAGGAUACUACAAACAUGGGGUGCACAUACAUGCAUGUAGACAAACCGUUAUACGCACACAUAUAGUAGAAAAACACAUAAAAUAAAAAUAGGGACUGGAGAGAUGGCUCAGCAGUUAAGAGCACUGACUACUCUUCCUGAGGUCCUGAGUUCAAUUCCCAGCAACCACAUGGUGGCUCACAACCAUCUGUAAUGAGGUCUGAUGCCCUCUUGUGGUGUGUGAAGACAGCUACAGUGCACUCACAUAUAAAAUAAAUAAAAAUAAAUCUUUAAGGCCAUACUUAAAUGGAUACUGAAAAUGUUUUGCAUAGUUAGUGUGGCCCUAUUGAAACAGCAAGGACACCAUCACAGAACCAGAAGUUACUCUAACAUCUGUGUAGGACGACAAAUGGCCCCAGUAACCCACUCACCUUUAGCAAACCGAACAAAGCUAUGGGACUUGAACUGCCUGCCCUUAAAAUCUGCAAAAGGCCACUGUGGCCACAGGGAGACAGCACUGCCACAAAGAAGAGUCUGAUGUGUGGCCCAGCACAACGGCGAAGUCAGUUUGUAGUGGGUGUUUCAAAUUUUUAAAAGUUCCAAGAAGACAUUUAAGGAAGAAGGCUGUCUCAUCAAUGAAUGUUGAGAAAACCAGAUGCCCAGAUACAGAAAGACAAGACCAGAAGCAGGGGUGCUGUCCAUGGUCAUCACAGCACUUCCGAGGGGUUGGCAAGAGGCAUGUGUGUUUGAGGCCAGCCUGAGCAAGUGCAGUGAGUUCAAGGCAAGUCUGGGACACUCACUGAGAUACUCAAAAACAAACCUCCAACAAAGCCUGACUGGAUAAAAGAACCAGGUCCAAGUCACAGAUGCUUCAGUGUAGCACCAGCAACCUUGACUACAAGAAGACAGAAGGAUUGGUGACAGUGUUUUAGGCAAAGGUGUUUGGAUAAAACUUCAGAAACAGCAGACAAAAGCAAAAAUCAGUUUCUGGGAUCAGGUUAAUUUAGAAAGCUGACCAUUAAAAACCUCUAAGGAGUUGGUCACAGAGUGGGAGGAAACCCUCGUAAACCACGCAUCUGAUAAGAACUAGCAUCUGAAACCUAGAAGGAACUCUGCGGACUGACAAGGAAAUAAGCAACCCAUUGAGAAGGGUGGGAGGCCUAGACACCUCUCCCAAAAUGGCAAACACUGGUCAAGUGUAUAGAAAAUACUAAUAUCACCAAUUGUCAAGGAAACUCAAGCAAAGACCAAAAUAAAUGUGACUAACCUGUUAGACUGGCAGCCAUCAAAAGCAUAAUGGUGGGGCUGGGGAUUUAGCUCAGUGGUAGAGCGCUUACCUAGGAAGCGCAAGGCCCUGGGUUCGGUCCCCAGCUCCGAAAAAAGAACCAAAAAAAAAAAAAAAAAAAAACAUAAUGGUGAGGACGAAGAAAGGGGACCUGAGCUCACCAUGGGGACGUAAGUCAGUAAUAUAGUUAUCAUGGAAGGUAGUGUGGAGGGUUAUCAGAAAGGGACAAAAGGGGCUGGAGAGAUGGCUCAGCGGUUAAGAGCACCCGACUGCUCUUCCAGAGGUCACGAGUUCAAUUCCCAGCAACCACAUGGUGGCUCACAACCAUCUGUAAAGAGUUCUGAUGCCCUCUUCUGGUGUAUCUGAAGACAGCUACAGUGUACUUAUAUAUAAUAAAUAAAUAAAUCUUUAAAAAAAAAAAAAAAAAAAAAAAAAAAAAAAAAAAAAGAAAGGGACAAAAGAAA